Long non-coding RNA from Gasterosteus aculeatus aculeatus (three-spined stickleback), 387 nucleotides. The record is from Ensembl. Lineage: Eukaryota; Metazoa; Chordata; Actinopteri; Perciformes; Gasterosteidae.
UUCGUCUCCUUAGAAGCGCUCCUUUCUUCAGAGCUGCGUUCAGGAAGCCGACGCUUCGCCUUUUGUGCCGCGUCGACAACUCGCGAGGCGACUCGCUGAAGGACGACGCUGAGAAGCAGAAAGCAGCAGAUGAGAAGACGUGAAUAGUUUGGUGCAGAGAUUGCUGUUCCCCAGAGGAUGAACCCCACUGACUUUGCCCCGUUGUUUACAGCCUCCACGCUCUUCCAUCAGAAACAGGACUCACGUGGUCUAAAAGCACAGCAAAGUUAAUCCACCUGUGAACCUUUAGAUAUAAACUGGUGGCCACGGGGUUCCAGUGCGGCCCCUGAUCAGGACCCUGGAGAGCGGGACGUCCAGGUUUCUAUCUGCUCUAAUCGUAUCCCAGCA